GUGAGCAGAUGCUCAACCUGAGCGCGUCUCGAAAAACAAUAAGCGCUACUGUAUCUGCGGAAGGAGCGGCCGUCCAGCCGUGUCACGGGCACGCGGGUGAAGGGCGACACCGCGGGUCACGUGACCGCGCGCUCCGUCCGUGCGGGUAAAGGUGCGCGUGCGGGAUCGCGGCGCCCUGCGGCGAUUAUGAAGGACACCUCAGAGCAGUGAGUGUCUCGAUCUGUCCUGAGCCGAGCCGAGCCGAGCCGAGUCUUGUGCCACAGCGUGUACGGUCGUGGACACGGCGCGUGCAACAUCAUGUCCAUCAGUCGCAAGAACUGGUCCGCUCUGUCCAGCCUGACGCGGCAGUGGACGGUGGAAGAUGAGGAGGAGGUCGAGAGGGAGCGCAGGAGGAAGAUUCGUAGCCACAGCAGCACAGCGGAGCCCGAUGACAGCCCCUCGGAGGACUCAUCUCCAGCGGUGGCAGUCAGCAGUUCUCAGGACAGCCGCGACGCCCUGGAACAGGCCCAGGUGGACUUCAUAGAGAUGCUGCGGAUACGUGAUGAGAAGAGGAGAAGGAGGCAGGAGGAGGCACUGAGGCGACAGCGCCAGGAGGAGGACGCGCAGCAGGGCGAGGACCAGCGAGGUGUGGAGACAGGGCAGCCAAAACAAGCGGGCGGGGAGGAGGAGACUUGUGGGCGGAGCCAAGACACGCUCACCACCGAAGUGGUUUCCACCAUGGACAGCAAGGGGAGUGAGAACAGUGGAAGAUCUGAGUCCAAACAAGAAGAAAAGUUGGAAACCCCUGGAAAAGCGUCUCGGAAGUUUGUGAGCUCAUUAUCCGUAACGUUUGACAAGGGCCACAAGUCGCCCCCUGCUGGCAGCAGUACGGUCAGCUCUCCGUUGAGUCCCACAGGCUCCUUCAGGGCAGCAUCCCCUGAGCAGACAUCUGCUGACGUCAGAGAGAAUGGAGAUGCACAGGAGUCCCCACUUGCUUCACCUUCAGAGGGCUCCCUGGACAAAGGGCAGACGCCAUUCAAGAGGCAGAACUACAGGGCCUGGUCCUUCAGGAUCCCUAGUCAUGAAGAUGAUAAGCAGUCACCAUUUAAAAGAAACACCAGACAAAGGCUGUCUUCACGCAGCAUCCAGGAGACGAUGGAGAGGCUGGCACUAGCAGCACAGAAAUCGGAGAGUGUCAAAUCUCCCACGGCCCCCCAGAGGACCUUGUAUUUGGCAGAUGAGGUGUCCAGGAAACGGGAGCUGUUUGAGAAGGAGCAGGCGGAUGGGGAAUCAGACAGGGAUAACCAGCGUAGCUCCUUGAAGAAUCAAGAGAGUAGCAAACACUGGAUCUCCAGCUUUUGGAAGAGCAACUCUGCAGUGGGCCACUUUAACUUGUACAGCGCAUCCAUUGCCAGCAAGAGGCAGCUGUGGGAGAAGAGAGCAGAGGAGGCAUCCACUGCCAACAGGCCCCACAAGUAGAGGGUGUGGAAGCAUGUCCCAUAUAGAUUCAGAUGCAAAGGGAAUAUCAGCAAUGGACACAACUGGGAACAUUUUCUUGCUUUGUGUACUUCAGAUGAUCUCUUAGACAUUUCAUAAAGAGCCUUGGAGGUUUUAAAGUCCUUAAUGAACACUUUUAUUCUGAAUUCUCUCGCAGGAAGAGUUUUAGUUUGAAAUGGAACAUGUGCUCAUUUCAUUUUUAUUUCUUCUUCCUAUGGUUACCUGCCACUCAAUUCAGAUACUAUUUUUUCAAUAAAAGAGUAACCAACUAAUAAAACA
This 1755-nucleotide long non-coding RNA is filed under the name Scleropages formosus (Asian bonytongue). RNAcentral's name for it is "lncRNA (ENSSFOG00015024420.1)". Lineage: Eukaryota; Metazoa; Chordata; Actinopteri; Osteoglossiformes; Osteoglossidae. The record is from RNAcentral.